CGGACGGGUGAGUAAUGUCUGGGAAACUGCCCGAUGGAGGGGGAUAACUACUGGAAACGGUAGCUAAUACCGCAUAACGUCGCAAGACCAAAGAGGGGGACCUUCGGGCCUCUUGCCAUCGGAUGUGCCCAGAUGGGAUUAGCUAGUAGGUGGGGUAACGGCUCACCUAGGCGACGAUCCCAGCUGGUCUGAGAGGAUGACCAGCCACACUGGAACUGAGACACGGUCCAG
This 231-nucleotide ribosomal RNA is filed under the name uncultured bacterium. RNAcentral's name for it is "partial 16S ribosomal RNA". It matches the Rfam family "Bacterial small subunit ribosomal RNA", at positions 99 to 334 of the family's 1533-position model. The record is from RNAcentral.